This 445-nucleotide long non-coding RNA is filed under the name Helianthus annuus (common sunflower). The record is from RNAcentral. Lineage: Eukaryota; Viridiplantae; Streptophyta; Magnoliopsida; Asterales; Asteraceae.
UUUGUGAGGUUUUGGUGUGUGUUGCCUGGUUUAGAAGAAGAGGAUAUUCCUCAACUAUACCCAAAAUGGCCAAAUCUUGCUAUUUGUUGGACAUGUUAGGUGAAAAACAAAAAGCAAGAAUCAAUGGUGGCUGGUGGCUGAUGAUGCUUUUUCAUCAAAAUGGAGUUUCAGAGAGGAAAGAUUGGAUAAAGAUGAAGGCUUGAAAGGGCAGAUUGGGUUGUUAGUUUCAAGACUUUAGGGUGCUUAAGAUACUGAUUGCUUGCUGAAAGGGCACUUUCCAAGGCUUCUAAUGACGAAUCUGAACAAGUUGGCAAAAAGGUGACUGACCUUGAGAAACAAUUGAAAAUGGAGAUAAAAUCAUGAAACAGAGCCAGAGCCGAAAAGAUCUGGUAAAAGACAUAAAUGCUCUUUAGAUGAUGGUAAUUUUGGGUCUUUUGAUGAGGAU